GAUGAACGCUGGCGGCGUGCCUAAUACAUGCAAGUCGAGCGAACAGACGAGGAGCUUGCUCCUCUGACGUUAGCGGCGGACGGGGGAGUAACACGUGGAUAACCUACCUAUAAGACUGGGAUAACUUCGGGAAACCGGAGCUAAUACCGGAUAAUAUAUUGAACCGCAUGGUUCAAUAGUGAAAGACGGUUUUGCUGUCACUUAUAGAUGGAUCCGCGCCGCAUUAGCUAGUUGGUAAGGUAACGGCUUACCAAGGCAACGAUGAGUAGCCGACCUGAGAGGAUGAUCGGCCACACUGGAACUGGGACACGGUCCAGACUCCUACGGGAGGCAGCAGUAGGGAAUCUUCCGCAAUGGGCGAAAGCCUGACGGAGCAACGCCGCGUGAGUGAAGAAGGUCUUCGGAUCGUAAAACUCUGUUAUUAGGGAAGAACAAAUGUGUAAGUAACUAUGCACGUCUUGACGGUACCUAAUCAGAAAGCCACGGCUAACUACGUG
This 497-nucleotide ribosomal RNA is filed under the name uncultured bacterium. RNAcentral describes it as "partial 16S ribosomal RNA". It matches the Rfam family "Bacterial small subunit ribosomal RNA", at positions 28 to 507 of the family's 1533-position model. The record is from RNAcentral.